This 315-nucleotide long non-coding RNA is filed under the name Sus scrofa (pig). Its description in RNAcentral is "lncRNA (ENSSSCG00040072410.1)". The record is from RNAcentral. Lineage: Eukaryota; Metazoa; Chordata; Mammalia; Artiodactyla; Suidae.
GGGGAGAUUCAUCUUCGUCGUCGCACCCAGCUGCUGCUACUGCCAGUGCCACGUGCCUUGCAAGGAUUUCCUAGGAUCCUCCUGGAAGCCUCAAAGAAUGGGUCAGAUUUUUUGGAUUCUAAGCAUCAUGACACUCUAUAAAAGAGAGCCUGGAGCGAACUUGAAAUUAAGCCACACAGGCAGCCAUUUACUUGGUUAAUGAACAUUGCUAUUUCAUUGGUUUUAAGCUUAUCAGAAAAAUAAUCGAGUUGAGAGUAAUUGGGUUUACAUCAUGGAUUGAACUUUGGAAACUUCACUGACCACUUAAUUUAAACG